Gastrolobium bilobum is the source of this 3022-nucleotide RNA transcript. It is a transcript of the gene named endoribonuclease Dicer homolog 3a-like, with no coding region annotated. The transcript is spliced from 17 exons. The record is from RefSeq and is a predicted model, not a curated record. Lineage: Eukaryota; Viridiplantae; Streptophyta; Magnoliopsida; Fabales; Fabaceae.
CUCAUUCUCUUAACAGUGUCAGAAAUCACGCUUCCUACGUUCUGCCAUGCAAUGGGAAUGAGGCUGCUUUUCUGUUUCUGCUCUGCAAUUACAUGCACACAACAAACUUCUCCCAACAAGACAAGCUUUAAUCCAAUGACUCCCAAUCCUGACACGACGAAUGUUCCUUUGUCACAAUGUUCCUGUAAUCCCAAAAGCUUCAAUCCAAGAAGGUAUCAAUCUGAAGUUUUUGAAGUUGCAGUGCAGAGGAAUACUAUUGCAGUGCUGGAUACUGGUGCUGGAAAGACAAUGAUAGCAGUGAUGCUUAUUAGACACAUUGGCAAAUUUAUCAAAUCUACUGAUCAAAAGAAAUUGAUUGUUUUCUUGGCUCCCACUGUCCAUCUUGUUAAUCAGCAAUUCGAGGUUAUCAGGGACUGCACAGAUCUGGCAGUGGAAGAAUACUAUGGGGCCAAGGGAAUAGAUGACUGGAAUUCAAGUUGCUGGGAGAAGGAAAUUGAAGAACAUGAUGUAAUGGUCAUGACACCACAAAUUCUCUUGGAUGGCCUCAGAAAGGCAUUCUUCAAUAUGAAAAGAGUCAGCUUGCUGGUUAUUGAUGAAUGCCAUCGUGCAAGUGGGAACCAUCCUUAUGUUAAAAUAAUGAAGGAAUUUUAUCACACAUCUAGUAACAAGCCAAAGAUUUUUGGAAUGACAGCAUCACCAGUAGUUGGAAAGGUUAUUUCAUCCGCUAUGGACUGCAAUGGUCAGAUAUCUAGUCUUGAAAGCAUUUUAGAUUCUCAGAUUUAUGCUAUUAAAGAUAGGACAGAGUUGGAACUAUGUGUGCCUUCUGCUAUGGAAACUUGUAGGUUCUAUAAUGAAGCACAAUUUCUCAGCAAGGAUUUGAAAUUAAAGAUGGAAGGUUUAUGGUCUCAGUUCGAUGCUUCAUUGCUGAGACUGCAACAGUUAGUGGAAUGUCAAUACAAAGACAUUCGUCAUAAACUUGAGAAAAUGCAGAAGCGAUUAUUCAACGACUAUUCAAAGAUUUUGUAUUGUCUUGAUGAUCUUGGCCUUGUGUGUGCUUAUGAGGCUGCUAAAUUCUGUCUGGAGAACAGCUCAUUUCCCCAACAGGAAUGUGAAUUUAAUAGCGAAGGUUGUUCGCAGUAUGCACAUUUCUUUAAUGAAUUGCUACAACUUAUUGGAGCCUAUUUUACUACUGAUGAUACCAACUCUGGAGACUUCGGUCUUGACCUUUCAAAUGCAGUAGAAUUGGGAUAUAUGUCUCCAAAAUUAUAUGAACUAAUACAAAUCCUUAAAUCAUUUGGAGAAAGCAAGGAUGUUCUAUGCCUUGUAUUUGUUGAAAGAAUUGUUACAGCUAAAGUCAUUGACAGAUUUGUGAAGAAGGUUAAGUUCUUGUCCCAUUUUACAGUCUCAUAUUUGACUGGGAGCAAUACAUCGACUGAUUCGGUGGCACCAAAGGUGCAGAAAGAAAUCUUACAUCUGUUUUCCAGUGGAAAGGUCAAUAUACUAUUUGCCACUGAUGUUGUUGAGGAAGGAAUUCAUGUGCCAAAAUGCUCCUGUGUCAUACGUUUUGAUCUGCCCAAGACAGUUCGUAGUUAUGUCCAGUCAAGGGGGCGGGCUCGACAAAAUAAUUCUCUAUUUGUCAUGAUGGUUGAGAGAUUCUAGUGUCAGUCUCAUCCAUAGAUACUGUGAAACGCUGCCUCAUGAUAAGUACUAUUUUCCCAAGCCAAUAUUCCAUCUCUCAAAUUCUGGUGGGCAUUAUGAAUGUAAAUUAACUUUGCCUCCAGCUGCAGCUUUUCAAACAUUAAUUGGUCCUGUGAGUAGAAAUUCUCAUUUGUCAAAGCAGCUUGUAUGCUUGGAGGCAUGUAAGAAGUUGCAUCAGAUGGGUGCUCUUAAUGAUCAUCUUCUGCCCUUUUCAGAAGAGCCAUUAGAAAGUAAUAUGAGCUUGAAUUGGAAAAAGUCACCAUCCGGUGAAGGAACAACCAAAAGAAAGGAAUUACAUGGGACAGUCUGCAUUCAUGCAUUAUCUGGAACUUGGAGCCCAAGUCAAAACGGGGCCACUUUUCAUGCCUAUAAAUUCGAUUUCUGUUGUAACAUCCCUGAGGAGAUUUAUUCUGGAUUUGUUCUUCUGAUUGGAUCAAAAGUUGAUGAUGAUGUAGGAAAUACUGAGGCAGAUCUUUACUUGAUCUCAAAGACAGUUAAGUCUUGUGUUUCUUCAUGUGGGAAACUGUAUUUGGAUUCAGAACAGAUGAUGCAAGCUAAGUGCUUUCAGGAAUUUUUCUUUAAUGGUUUAUUUGGAAGACUCUUUGUUGGGUCAGAAGAAGCUGGAACAAAAAGAGAAUUUUUACUUCAGCAUCAAACAAGUGAGCUAUGGAGCCCAUUGAAAAUGUAUUUUCUUUUGCCACUCGAGGAAUUGAAUAGUAAAGAUGAAGCCUGGAGAGUAAACUGGAGAGGAGUGAGCUCUUGUGUGCCAGUGGUAAAGUUUUUGAAAGGAAAAUUCACAUUGAGUUCUGAGAAUUGUUACAAACAAAAGUUAUCAAAUUGGAGUGACUCAUCUGAUGUAGAACAGAAGACCUCAAGUACAGUCCACUGUGCUAAUUGUUUGCUUGACGUAAAUGAUAUCAAAGAUGUUGUGGUGUUGGCUAUUCACACUGGAAGGUUGUACUCUGUUGUUGAGGUUGUAACGGAUACCUCUGCAGAGUGUCCUUUCAGCUACAAUGGGGCCGAUGUGUCCGUAUCAUCAGAUUAUCGUACCUACAUUGAAUACUUCAACAAAAAGUUGGUAUUUUCUGACCCAAUAUUGUGGUUUAUAUAUAGCUCUCACAUAGUUUUGCUCUGCAUUUGCUAGUUCAGUUUGCUAGUAACAUGCUUGCAAUUCAGGUAUGGGAUUGUGCUGAUGUAUCCAGGACAGCCUUUGCUACGGUUAAAACAAAGUCAUAAACCACAUAAUCUUCUAGUAAAAUUCACUGGAGACGGUUUGUCAUAUUCAUAUUUUUUAAUAAUCUUCUAUUCUUCCCUAUAAAUAUUU